RNAcentral lists this ribosomal RNA (428 nucleotides) under uncultured prokaryote. RNAcentral's name for it is "bacterial SSU rRNA". It matches the Rfam family "Bacterial small subunit ribosomal RNA", at positions 355 to 774 of the family's 1533-position model. The record is from RNAcentral.
CUAAGAAUCUUCCGCAAUGGGGGAAACCCUGACGGAGCGACGCCGCGUGGAUGAUGAAGGCCGUAAGGUUGUAAAAUCCUUUUGUCGGUGAAGAAUAAGCCAGGGAGUGGAAAGCCCUGGUGAUGACGUUAGCCGACGAAUAAGCCCCGGCUAAUUACGUGCCAGCAGCCGCGGUAAUACGUAUGGGGCAAGCGUUGUUCGGAUUUAUUGGGCGUAAAGGGCGUGUAGGCGGCUCAUCAAGUCUGGGGUGAAAUUGCAGAGCUUAACUCUGCGUAUGCGCUGGAAACUGGUUGGCUUGAGUGCUUGAGGGGAAGCUGGAAUUCCAGGUGUAGGGGUGAAAUCUGUAGAUAUCUGGAAGAACACCGGUGGCGAAGGCGAGCUUCUAUCAGAGGACUGACGCUGAGGCGCGAAAGCGUGGGGAGCAAACA